Molecule: ribosomal RNA, 738 nt
Filed under: Triticum aestivum (bread wheat)
Lineage: Eukaryota; Viridiplantae; Streptophyta; Magnoliopsida; Poales; Poaceae
Description: partial small subunit ribosomal RNA
Source: RNAcentral
AUGGAACAAGACUUCCACUCCUUCACUAAGAAUGUUUGGAACAAUGCUUCUCAUAUUUCUUUUGCAGCAAAAUCUUCCUAUCUUGCAGGAUCUCUCAAAACUUGGUGCAGGAAGAAAAAACCACUUCAAAAUGAGCUUUCGGCUUUGGAGUCAAAAAUCAAUGAACUGCAACAACUUCCUCUUCAUCAGCAAAAUCAAGAUCUCCAAUGUUCUCUUACGGCAAGGUAUGAAUUAACGCUUUCUAAGAUUAAUCAAUAUUAUAAGCAAAGGAGUAAGAAGAAUUGGGUUUCUAAAGGUGAUCGUAAUACUAAAUUUUUUCAUCAGGCUGUUAUUAAGCGUAGGAAGAGAAAUACUAUCUGUUCUAUUAAGGAUGAACAUGACCUCAUUCACUGUAAUCCUAAUGCCAUUAUGCAAACCUUUGUGAACUACUUCAACUAUAUUUUUUCAUCCCCUAAUGCGAAUCAGGGGUACAAUCAUAACAAUGAUCCUACUUAUUCCAUUCCGGAUAACGCUGAAAUCUUGCAGAUUCUUAAAGAUAUGAAGCUUAAAGCUUCUCCUGGACCUGAUGGUUUCAAUGUUGAAUUUUAUUUAGCUACUUGGGACUGGAUUGGGGAAGAGGUAACUCAACUUGUUACUAAUUUUUAUCAAACAGCUACCCUUCCUUCUCAUAUUAAUAACACCAAUAUUGCUCUCAUUCCUAAGAAAUUGGUGCCCCUGCUUCCUACUGAUUACAGGCCU